RNAcentral lists this long non-coding RNA (889 nucleotides) under Homo sapiens (human). RNAcentral describes it as "HSALNT0384784". Lineage: Eukaryota; Metazoa; Chordata; Mammalia; Primates; Hominidae. The record is from RNAcentral.
GCCAGAAACGUCUACCUUAUCCCUCUUGAAAUGCUACCCUGAGAUUGACAUAUGGGGAGUCUGGGCUAGACUCCUCGAGGGUGAGAAACUAUGUGAAGCAAGGUCUGGCCAAUAGACAGCCCCAAAUGCCAGAAUUGGGAGUGAAGUCAUCAUAGACAAUCUGUCUCUAAUGGAGUCCCCAGAUGUGUGCAGAAUAGGAAUAGCCCCAGGAAAGACCAACAGAAGAACCACUCACCUGAGCUCAGCCCAAAUUGUUGACUCACAGAAUUAAUUACAAUCUCCUGUUCCCCCUGAAAGAGCCCAGAUAGAUUCCCAGAUGAGUAUCGGAAGAGGUAGCUGCCAUCAGGACUUGCUUGAUGGACCCAAGCACUCAUCUAAUAGUGGCACUGGAAGAAUUAAUCUGGCUGAUAUAUCAGACCUCUCUCCUCCGUGGGAACUUGCCAUUUUCUCCAGCCUCUGAGUUUUUCUAGUGAGAUUCAGAGAUACAGCCAAAUCGCCUUAUACAAGGCAGGUGCUUGAUACAGGUUGAAUGAAGAUUAUGUUUACCAGGUUCCAGCCUCAGAAUAUUGGAAUCCACUUUCUCUGAAUGCACGGAGAGCUAGAAGCACCUGGGAAUUUAUGUUGCCCAAGAGCAGCCCUUAGCCAAUGAUUGACAGGUGGAGGAGUUUAAAUACUUCACCUCCCUUGCUUCUUAACGGGAAUUACUUCAAAAUAUGCUGCCUCCAGAUCUCCCCUGCAGAUUGAGCCACAGUUAUCUUCUGCUAGACUUUGUUUGCUAUCACACACCUGCUUGGGUUUUUCCUGGAAACACUUCCUAUUAAACUGGUUUUAAAUGAGCCCUCAUUUCAGGAUCUGCUUCUAGGACCUUUGAUAGACAGCUUUUGACAUG